Molecule: ribosomal RNA, 378 nt
Filed under: Triticum aestivum (bread wheat)
Lineage: Eukaryota; Viridiplantae; Streptophyta; Magnoliopsida; Poales; Poaceae
Description: partial small subunit ribosomal RNA
Source: RNAcentral
AUGUCUGAUUCCGCCAGGGGCACCUGGGUCAAGAUGUACACGAUCCCGAUGCUUCCAUCCAUGGAUUUCGUGAGGCCUUUGAGGAUGAUACGUCGUGAUGGGAAGCUAUUGUUCUAUUGCUUCCAUUUUGGCGAGGCAACUCCAUCGCUGGAGCUCUAUGAUCCGUUCAAUGGGACAUGCACACACUUGGCGAAGCAUCCACGUAACCUCUUGGGUGAUGUUGGUGUUUGGGGCUUGCACUUGAAGUGUUUUGUCUCAGCCAAGAUCUCGCCGGUGGCUACACCAGAUGAAUCCUUGAUCUCUUUUAUAAAGGAUCUUUUUGACAAACCAAAACCACACGAAUCCUUGAUCUCUUUUAUAAAGGAUUUUUUUGAGUAG